This 76-nucleotide transfer RNA is filed under the name Candidatus Omnitrophota bacterium. Its description in RNAcentral is "Candidatus Omnitrophica bacterium (sediment metagenome) tRNA-His". It matches the Rfam family "tRNA". Rfam says of the family: Transfer RNA (tRNA) molecules are approximately 80 nucleotides in length. Their secondary structure includes four short double-helical elements and three loops (D, anti-codon, and T loops). Lineage: Bacteria; Pseudomonadati; Candidatus Omnitrophota. The record is from RNAcentral.
GUGGGUGUAGCUCAGUUGGCAGAGCGGAAGAUUGUGGCUCUUCAGGCCGCGGGUUCAAAUCCCGUCACUCACCCCA